Orbicella faveolata is the source of this 1024-nucleotide long non-coding RNA. The record is from RefSeq and is a predicted model, not a curated record. Lineage: Eukaryota; Metazoa; Cnidaria; Anthozoa; Scleractinia; Merulinidae.
AAACCCAAAAUAUAUUGUUCACCGUGUUUACAGGUGUGGAUGGUGAAUUCUCUCGCUGGGGUUUCUGGUCCGACUGCAGCCUGACUUGUGGUGGCGGAGUCCAAACAAGAACCAGAACCUGUACUAACCCUCCUCCCCAGGGGUACGGAGAAGACUGUGAUGGCCCCCUGCAGGAGACCAGGGCUUGUAAUGACAAGCCCUGUCCAGGAAAUGACGAGGGUUGGACUUUCAAGCACAGUUAUCUGGGGAGAAACGUAGCGAAAGGAAACAAAUAGAGAUACUAUGUGCCACUCCUUACGAGUUGAUGCUCCUGCAGUAAACGUAAUGGGUUUGGAGCCGUGCAAACAUAGAGCAAGGGACAAACAUGCAUAAGGUGUUAAAGGAGCUUGGUCACGGUGUUUUGAGUUAUUUUGGCCGCGUACAAAAUUACCUUUAAAUUAAAGGAAACCUGAAAAUAAUAGUUUACCAAGUUAAGAUAGAAAAGCAUCAAAGAGAUACUUGUUAACCAUAAAGUAACAAGGAUGGUUUAGGAUGGUGAAGAUUAACACGGAUUACAAACGACGAACUUGAGAAAUCUAGCCUAAACUUUUCGAGAUGUGCAAACCGUGACGUAGCUCUGUUAAGCUAAGGGUGCCGGAUACAAGUUGUAUACAGUCCUUCAGUUUGGGUAGAAAUUUAAAUUGCUCCUGUAAUACUAGCCUCUUCCUGUGGUGUAAUUAAUAAAAAUGUGGGAAUAAAAGGCAUCAGUGUAUAUUUGUUUGUUUAUUUGGGGGAGAGGGCAAGCUUGCAUUACUGCUUGGGAACGAGAGAGAAUGUCCCGGAGAACUAACUAAUGGAGUGAGAGAUCCGUACAAAUAGUUCAUCAAUUCCAGUGUAAAGCUUCUGUGUGACUAAUGUCUACGGUCUGAUGGUCCAAUAGUUGCCUAACAGUGUCCAAUAGUUGGAAAUGUGAUGUUCUUGAAACUUGCAAAUUUGCCCUCGAAGCUCCCCUCUGGGGCAAAUACUUGUUUUAAGAACAUCAAGU